This 3762-nucleotide long non-coding RNA is filed under the name Equus caballus (horse). Its description in RNAcentral is "lncRNA (ENSECAG00000057821.1)". Lineage: Eukaryota; Metazoa; Chordata; Mammalia; Perissodactyla; Equidae. The record is from RNAcentral.
GUGGCUCCCGAGGAGGAAAACAGUUCCGCGGGCCCGCUGUGGGAAUAGCCGUGAAUCCCUCAAUGGAAGGGGCCUCAGUGGUGCCAGGCAGCUGCUCCACAAGAGAAUUGGGCCAUUUUCUCCAGGGGGCCCAACUCUCUCUAGUGUUUUUGUCAUGACAGCCUAGGUGGUAGAAGCUGAGGCCAAGGCCGCCUCUAAGGAAUGCUGCCUCCUACAGGGGUCUGACUUCAGGCUUUCCUUGUAUUGAGGCGGGAGCCCUGGAGGGUGCUCAGAGGAUCUCCUCCUCCCUGCAGGGCCCUCUAACGAGGAGAAGAGAAUCAGGUGAGUCAAAAUGAAGCAAAGCCUUGUGCGGCGCUUGAAGCCCACAGCCCACCUGGGCCCUAAGCAAGUGCAGGUGACUCAGAUCUGGUUCCUCUUCUGGCCCUUGGAGCUCUUUGCUACCCUUGCACUCCUCUGCGUGCUCGACUGCCCAGGCCUGGCUGCCACUGCAAUGCCCGGCGCCCCAGACCUUGCCUGGCAAAUGUGCCGCUGCUGGAUACCAUUCCUAGUCUCAUUCCCAGGGAAUCCAGAGGCAAGUCUGGGCUGAUACGCCCUAUGAGAUACAAUGGGCAAGGUAGGUGUUUGCCUUUUGACUGAGACCAUCUAUAAACAAGGCUGGGAUCCCAGGUCUGGCUCUGGGGCAGGGGAGCUCCAGGCCCUCGCCCUGGCAGCACAGUGAGGGAGGGACUCGCGGCUUUCAGCACCUCUUAAAUCAUCCCAGAGGGAGAGCCACUUACUUCCGCACGCACAGGCUGCCGCCGGCUCUGUCACAAGAAGAUGAACUACAAGUAAUAAAAUCAAGAUGAAGUUCUAUGUAAAUCUUUCCAGCUCACAAAGAUUGUAGAAAGUUGGAGAUGAAAAGGAUAUUAAAGACCUUCUAGUUCUACCUCGUCAUUCUGCAGCUGUAAAAACUGAGGCCCAGGGAGGUGUAUGGACUAACCCAUCAUCACACAGCUGCUCUGCGGCAGGAGUUGCACCAGCUUUCCGUGGCAUCCUUGCCAGUCCACUAGUCUAUAGCAUCUUUUGACUUUUGAAAACAGUGGAAGAGAAAUCAGUCCUCCAGCAUCUUCACUUCCCUCUGUUUAUUAUUUCCAGCUGCUAAAAAUGGGCACUUUUAAAAGUCGGUCGCCCUGCCAGUCAUUGAGGGUCAGUGCUCUGAGGAAUGCUGGUUUGCAGGAGUGGUGAAUAGGCCAGUGAUGGGAAGCGUAAUUGCCAGCCUCCUCCCUGGCACCUGGGGAUUGCUGUCAUUCAAGUCCCUGGGCGUGUGCCCUCAGCAAAUACUAACCCACAGAGUCAAUUGCUAACUCCAGUCAUCUGUACAUUUGCCCUCCAGGGAUGGAAAGCAGGAGGAAACGCCAUUUCCUAAUCUAGUUGGCCUUGGAUGGAAACGUGUUUUGGCCGGAUGGAAGCCUUCAGUGAGUCGAUGAUGCGUAUUUAGGACCUACAAUCAAUCCUCUCCAGGAUCUUUUACAGGACCCGGCUGUAGCGAAAAACUCACCAAUGCUUCUGGCUUUGCCUUUGCUUUAGUUGAGAGCUUUUGGUUGCAAGGAAUCAACUUGAGCUGGCUUAAUUAUUAAGGGAAAUAUGUGGUGAGGCAGUAUCUCAUGAAGCCCAAGGACAGAUGGCUACGAGGAAGCCAGGAAGCAGGCCUUCUCCAGCCUUCGCCUCUGCUCCACGUCUCUCUGCAAUCAACUCUCCUUCCUUCUUCUCUCUGGGCAGCUGAGUGGAAGAGGAUCCCUCACAACUGCCGGGUUUACACCCUCCCUACUGAAGAGGUCGGUCCCGGGUAGCUGGCUGUGCUCAAUCCGAGGCCACAUUCCCACGAGAGAGAAUGCGGUUGGCUCAGCCUGGGUCAGGUGCACAACCUGAUCCGGUCAAGGGUGGCCCCAAACAGGGUGCCCUGAGACAGGCAAGGCGGGGCGCUCACCCGCCUGGAUGACUGAAGGGCAGUUCUCCCAGACAGAAAAAUGACAUGCAGUGGGCUGGCACUGAAAAAGUGCGACUCUCAUAGGCUUCAGUCAAAUUAGUUAUUGACAGAGAAAAAGUGGAUGGUCCGGGUGGGAGUUCUGAGGAACAGUUCAGACACUCUGAGACCUUGAUGAUUUGCCUCAUUUCUUGAGUGAUAAAUUGCCUGUCAUGGAGCUGUAGCUGUUUAGAGAGCAGGCCCUGCACUUGAACCCCAUUCUCUGGGCUCUGUGAAGAAGGCCCAUUCAGACAACCUGAGGAUUUUCUUAACCUUUCAAGUGACUAUAUUAUAUAUUUUCAUCCUGUUGAGGUGCGUUAGCUAGAUAGAUACUGAAAAUGAAAUGAAAGUGUACUUUCAAACUUGUAUGUGUUGCUUUUUAUGUGUGUGUAGAUAGAUAGAUAGAUGGAUAGACAGAUAUUCCUAUACUUUUAAACACUUAACCUCUUUCCAGAAAGGACUGGCAGCAUCUUCUAAUGAAAACGCAGAAGAAGUACGGCCAAAAACCAUUAACACUAAAAAGGAAGGAAAAGCCCAGUAGCAAUCAGGCAGCAGCUGAGCAGCGUGACAGGUGAUGGACAGGCUGUCAUUCCCCACCUGAGCUGAUGGAUGACCUUCGCCCUGAAGGUUCUGAUAUUCUAGGCAAAGAAGAAACUGUUAUGAAUUGAAUAGCUUUAUUAUUUUAAAAGUGUAAACAUUUAGAACAGAGGUUCUCAAAUUAUAGUCCAGGGACUCCUGGGGUUCUCCAAGCCCUUUCAGGGGGUCCACAGAUCACAACUAUUUUAAUGAAAAUCCCAUUCUCUUGAGUAUACUGUGGAGUUUUCUAGAGGCCACAUGACAGGUAAUAUUACCAUAGAUUGAAGGCAGAAGCAGAGACGAGAAUCCAGCUAUCUUCUACUAAGCCAGACAGUCAAGAGAUUUUCAAAUAUUUUAAAUAAUGUCACUCAUAAUUUAUUUUUAUUUUGGAAAAUACAUUUUCACAAAACAUUAUGUUGGUAUAUUAUGAGUAUUGCUAUUAUUUCAAAUUAACAUUUAAUUUUGGUUUUAAUUUCUAAUAUUGCAAGUAUCAAUGGAUAUGUCCUAUAUAAGCAAAAACUCUUUGGGGUUCUCAACAAUUUUUUAGAGUAUAAAGGAGUCCUGAGAACAAAACAUUUGAGAACUGUUGAUCAAAAAUAUUACUAUUAUUUGUGCAACUCAGAUGGUGAUUUUUGCCCCAAAGGUUUCUUUCUAGAAGGCAUUGGUCAUGUCUACAUUUGAUCCCAUGGCAAACUGAAAUCAUUUUAUGACUAGAUGAAGUAAGCUUUUUGUACACAUGUAUUCAUUUAUUCCUCAUUUAUCUGUUCAAGAAAUGUUCACUGAGCACGUGUUCUACAGAGUCCAGGUACCGUGCUGACUCUGAAGACAGCGACGGGCGAGACUAACUGGCUGCAUCCUCCUGGAGACUGUGAUUUCGUUUGCAAAGGAGGAACAAGGAUGACUUGAAAAUAAUCCCGGGUCAACGUCAAACCAGAUGGAAACUGCUUUUGUUUAUCCUCACAUAAACUACCAAUUUAAAGAAAAUACUACUUAUUUUCCUAAGUCUGAAGAGUUGAGGUUAAAGAAUUUCCCGGCAGGAGCACACCAUGUGCCAGGGAAAAGGCACAAAGUAUCAGUGUGGAGGGAGUCCAGGAGUCUUCGAGCUGAUACCGGCAGCGCUGACUUACUCCCACAGUCCUGCAGCAGGCUGCGAGCAGAGAUACGGCCUGGCAGUGUGUCAUGGG